ACAAUUUCCAUUUAUGAUAACAACCACGUGUAACAAUUAUAAACACCGCAUUUAUUUUUGUCCAUCACCUUUUAUAUACGUAUUUUUUUGCAACAUACAAGUAAGCAAUCAAUUGUACUGUACUUAGUCCAGCUAGCAGCCAAUAGAAGUAAUCAAGAUGACCCCGAUUCAAAUUAUUAGCGAACCAACUAUCAUGGCCUUCCCCGCCAGUAGCUUUUUCAAUGGCAGAGACGAGAAAGCUGCUUAUAAAGCUUCCUACACCAAAGAUGCUGAGGUAGAGAGAGAGACCCACACUUCUUAAUUCACUGGGUACCUGAUCAUAGAAGAAUUCUUGCAGACCUACCAUGGUAAAUACAUCAGCAAGUCCAAACAUGACAUAUUGAGGAACUAGCCACCAAAUGCUCAUUGGAACUGUCACAUUUGGCUUAUCAAUUAGCCCAUAUUCUCGAGCAACUUCAAGCCUCUUAAUCUCAAUCAAAGCAGCAAUUGCCAUAGACAGAACAGAUAAAAACAUUCCAGUUCCAAUCCUCUGAAGCAUUGUGAUGCCAGAAGGUUUCCCAGUCAAGGCCCUUGCUAUGGGAACAAAAACACGGUCAUAGAUUGGAAUGAAUAAGACAAUGGCAAGGCUGAUAAAAGAUUGAAGUGCAGCUGGUGGUACUUCAAAACUCAGGGAAAUUGAUCUAUCCAUAGUUACUCCUUGCUUGGUAAAGAAAGUUGAGGACUGUGCAUACACAACAGCAUAUACCAAGCAUGUAGCCCAUAUUGGAACAAGCCUAAGUACCGCCUUCGCUUCUUCAACUUCAGUAAGGCUACACACCUUCCCACUUUCCUUGGAGCCAUUUGGUGCAAGCAGGGCCUUGUUGAGGAACCUGGCACAUCAGAAGAUCCAAUUUGGAAUUUUAGAAGAGCUUUUGAUAUGUUAUAAAGUUGAGUUGAGUUUUCUAAGCAUCACUGUUUCAGCAACAUGAAGAACUGGACAGCAUAGGUUAAAGUUCAAGGAGACAAAGUUGUUUUAUUCAUCACCUAAGAAUUACUUUAAUGCCAUAAUCAAGUUUUCCUUUCACAUCCAUUUGACUAGAAAAGAAAUUUAAAGGCAUUUAAAAAAAAAAAAAUAAAGCAUCCUGGAGGCGUUGUUCACAAUGACUACUCCCCUCUCCAUAAUAAUUGAAAAGUGAUUUCCAAUAAAACCCUAAAAUGCAUAUCUUCGUGCAAUGAGCAAGAACACCACACAGCCUUUGUUGAAUGUUACUAUAAACAUUAAUCACACACAUUUUAUAGUUAUAUAAAUCAUGCUCAGAACAUAAAUCCCACAUUUGUAUUAUAGGAUAAGAGACAAGGUUGAGUUAAUACAGCAAUAAAAUACGACCUAAUCUGGUGAUAGAGCCACUCUAUCCAUUAACAUAAGCUUUUGGGUGAGAUACAUUUACAUGUUAGAGCCUCAUUUUUGGACUACACAUGCUAAGCCUUUGUCUCUGUUUAGUGGACUUUCUUGCUUAGGAGGAGUUGAGGAAAAGAAUUCCACAUCCACUGGACCUGAAAUCUAAUGACUUGGAAUACUACGGCUUAAUAUGAACAACUACACUAUUUGCCAGCCCAAGGUUUAGGGUUGGAUCCUUAGCAAAUCACAACAGUGAUUAAUUAUCCAACCAAUGAUUCAAAGAAGUCAUAGAGCUCAGAUUACUUUCAAAAUCUAUAAUCCUAAGUGGGCAAAAUCCACAAAAAGCUUUGAAACUGUGUUCAAAAUCUUCCAGACAUCUUAAUGCAUUUAUAUUCAUUUCUAUCCUGAAUUAUCAAAGAGCAAAAAUUUAUCUCUUACCUGAAUUGCUCAGAACCAUGAUGAGGUAGCAUUCCACGAGCUUCUUCCUCUAAAGUUAUUGCAGAAGGGUAAGUUCGCCAAUUCCUAAUUGUUGCAAGAAAUACCCUACCAAUUCUUAAAACUGCACUAUUCUCUUCUGCUUUGACACUAUAGCGAUAUGUCGUAGUUCCAAGUAAGAAGAUUAAUAGUGCAAUCACCAUCGUAAUACAUGGGAUUCCAAAUCCAAGAGCCCAACCAAGGUUGUCCUGGAUGUAGUUUAAGGUUAGUACAGUUACUAAAAUGCCGAAAUUCAUACAGAAAUACCACCAGUUAAAGAAUGAGCUUUUGGCUUUGCACUCCUCAGGGUCUUUUCCAUCAAACUGAUCUGCCCCAAAAGCCUGAACACAAGGUUUAUGCCCACCUUGCCCAAGUGCUGCCAAAUAGAGGGCAAAGAAGAACAAAACUACUUCAAAUAGAUGAGGAGAGCAAGAUGUGAUAGUACUGGAGCUUGGGCAACCAGAAGCACUGUGUGAAGGAAACAUAGCGGAUAUAGUCAUCAAGCCAAGUCCCAAGAGGUAGAUAAGAGAAGCAACAACAAUAGUGCGAUAUCUCCCAAGGAAAGAAUCGGCAACAAAUGCACCUAAC
This 2440-nucleotide unclassified non-coding RNA is filed under the name Hevea brasiliensis (rubber tree). Lineage: Eukaryota; Viridiplantae; Streptophyta; Magnoliopsida; Malpighiales; Euphorbiaceae. The record is from RNAcentral.